AGUCCACCUUCCUCCCAGCCGCACGUGGUGUCGGCUGCGGCUGCCCACUGCUGUGUGCGUGCGCGUGGCUUGAAGGGUGGCCGAGA
This 86-nucleotide small nucleolar RNA is filed under the name Leishmania donovani. Its description in RNAcentral is "H/ACA box snoRNA LD26Cs1H3". Lineage: Eukaryota; Euglenozoa; Kinetoplastea; Trypanosomatida; Trypanosomatidae. The record is from RNAcentral.